This 72-nucleotide transfer RNA is filed under the name Stegodyphus mimosarum. It matches the Rfam family "tRNA". Rfam says of the family: Transfer RNA (tRNA) molecules are approximately 80 nucleotides in length. Their secondary structure includes four short double-helical elements and three loops (D, anti-codon, and T loops). Lineage: Eukaryota; Metazoa; Arthropoda; Arachnida; Araneae; Eresidae. The record is from Rfam by way of RNAcentral.
GCCUUAAUGGUGUAAGGGAUAGCACACUCGGCGCGUAUUCGAGAGAUCCAGGUUCGAAUCCCGGCGAGGGCA